Molecule: long non-coding RNA, 583 nt
Filed under: Lupinus angustifolius (narrow-leaved blue lupine)
Lineage: Eukaryota; Viridiplantae; Streptophyta; Magnoliopsida; Fabales; Fabaceae
Description: long non-coding RNA (LANG_LNC003580)
Source: RNAcentral
AACAUAGUGCGAUCAUUUCGUUGACUAAUGUUGUGCUCCAUUUCUCUCAAUGUAAUGAUAAAUUCAGCCAAUAUUUUCUCAAUUUCUUUCAUGUUACAAUUCAAGACAAAUUGAAUAAAAUUGUUCAACAAAGAUUGCAAGACAAGAUCACUCCUAAUCAUGUUUAGCCCAUGAGGGGCCACAAGACUUCCCUCUGCCAAUCUACAUUGAUAAAGUUGUUUGGAGACCUCAAACCUCUCAUGCCUAGCUUGACCUUGAUAGAGCUUCUUUAAGUACACAAUCAUGUUGUACGCUUUUAUGUUCUCAUGUUGCUUUCGAUGCUCAGAGAUCAUAGAAGCCACCAUGAGACAACUACCACCUACAGAACCAUCCUGGUGCUUCUUAUAAGUAUUUUUGUUAGUUAUUAAGGAAUGCUCGACUAGGGUUUCAAUUAGUGGCUCGUCCAGUACAUAUCGCUUUUUCAGUUGCUUGAGGAAAAUCCUCACGUUUCUAUACUAUUCAAGGAAGUUUGUUUGUGAUAGUUUUUCCUUCUCAAGGAUAGAUCGUAAAGAUAAUUUACUUGUUGCAUUUAUUGUCAUGGUUA